This 269-nucleotide unclassified non-coding RNA is filed under the name Glomus sp. RNAcentral's name for it is "partial contains 5.8S ribosomal RNA and internal transcribed spacer 2". Lineage: Eukaryota; Fungi; Glomeromycota; Glomeromycetes; Glomerales; Glomeraceae. The record is from RNAcentral.
GUGAAUCAUCAAAUUUUUGAACGCAAAUUGCACUCUCUUCGGUUAGUAUGCCUGUUUCAGGUUCAGCCUCAAAAAAUCUACAUAGCCGCUGUUUUGCGGUGACAUUCGUCGGAAAUUGGGUCAUCUUAAACCUUUGGGUUUUAUGCGUCUUAUAAUUUUCUUUAUGAUUCUAUUCACGCUUCUAAGAUUUACUUCUUACACGUUUAAGGUAAUCGAUCUUUAUUAUACGUGUCCUUUUCAUCGGAGCGCGUCCUUAAUCAUUUAGUUAA